GGUCUGGUAGUGUUAUCAUGCAAGGUUGCAAGCCUUGAGAAGUUAGGUAUUCUAACCCAGAUCU
This 64-nucleotide transfer RNA is filed under the name Porichthys myriaster (specklefin midshipman). RNAcentral describes it as "tRNA-Cys". The record is from RNAcentral. Lineage: Eukaryota; Metazoa; Chordata; Actinopteri; Batrachoidiformes; Batrachoididae.